GAUUAUGGCUCAGAUUGAACGCUGGCGGCAGGCCUAACACAUGCAAGUCGAACGGUAACAGGAAACAGCUUGCUGUUUCGCUGACGAGUGGCGGACGGGUGAGUAAUGUCUGGGAAACUGCCUGAUGGAGGGGGAUAACUACUGGAAACGGUAGCUAAUACCGCAUAAUGUCGCAAGACCAAAGAGGGGGGACCUUCGGGCCGUCUUGCCAUCGGAUGUGCCCAGAUGGGAUUAGCUAGUAGGG
Molecule: ribosomal RNA, 244 nt
Filed under: uncultured bacterium
Lineage: Bacteria
Description: partial 16S ribosomal RNA
Rfam family: Bacterial small subunit ribosomal RNA
Source: RNAcentral